RNAcentral lists this transfer RNA (69 nucleotides) under Marmota monax (woodchuck). RNAcentral describes it as "tRNA.Undet". The record is from RNAcentral. Lineage: Eukaryota; Metazoa; Chordata; Mammalia; Rodentia; Sciuridae.
GGGUAUAGUUCAGUGGUAGAAUGCUUGCCUAGCAUGUGUUAGGUCCUGGGUUUGAUUCCCAGCACUGCA